UACGGAGGGUGCAAGCGUUAUCCGGAUUUAUUGGGUUUAAAGGGUCCGUAGGCGGGCCGAUAAGUCAGUGGUGAAUUUUCGUGCUUAACAUGAGAGCUGCCAUUGAUACUGGAUACCUUGAGUGUAUUUGAUGUGGGCGGAGUGUGUUGUGUAGCGGUGAAAUGCAUAGAUAUGACACAGAACACCGAUAGCGAAGGCAGCUCACAAAGUUACAACUGACGCUGAUGCACGAAAGCGUGGGGAUCAAACAGG
Molecule: ribosomal RNA, 252 nt
Filed under: uncultured bacterium
Lineage: Bacteria
Description: partial 16S ribosomal RNA
Rfam family: Bacterial small subunit ribosomal RNA
Source: RNAcentral